RNAcentral lists this long non-coding RNA (343 nucleotides) under Brassica rapa (field mustard). RNAcentral describes it as "long non-coding RNA (BRAP_LNC005583)". The record is from RNAcentral. Lineage: Eukaryota; Viridiplantae; Streptophyta; Magnoliopsida; Brassicales; Brassicaceae.
AACGGCCAGUCCCGGAAAUACAAAUACGGCCAUCUUAGCCUAAACGAAAUCCAAAUUCAAAGGGCCACAUUCGGCCAAAAACAAGGAUAACUGAUCCAUCCCUCAUACUCCAAAGUCAAAGUCCCCGGACAACGAAGCACCAAACGCAUCCGCAGGAUGAUCCACUUCCUCGCCACCAUCGUGAAAAUCGAUCGGGACCUCCUCGGUAUCAGGAGAAACCGGGAUGGAAUCCCAGAAGCCUUGAAUCCUCUCGUCGAUCGGAGGGAUAAGCGCCUCAGCGUGGGCACGGUCACUCAUCCCACUCUUCAUCAAGCUCAUUUCCUCUUCAAACACAUAGUCGUCG